UUCUGAAUCAACUUGACAUGUUUAGUAUUCAGUUAACCACAGAAUCACCUUCUCAAUGUUGUUGCUUGGGGGAGUAAUGUAGAACCACAUAAGCAUAAUUUUAAAUUGACAGUAAUUCUGCAAUGCACUUUUUCUCCUCUUAAGUGGACCGAUACAAUCCUGUUUAUGUUUAUUGAUCUUAUUCUACCUUGCAGAUACCGCAUCAAGCAAGAUAAUCUUCUUUUAAAAAAGGAGAAUGUUCCCCAAUGAAAGACGUAACAAACAUUACAGCCAGUGGGCCUACAGGAUCGAGGAGCCAACUAGAGAGGAAAAAAGCUCCAGCCGGAAAUUAGGAUGGUAUGCAAAAAUGUAGAAUGAGAAGAAAUCUGAAUACAUGAAUAAGUUGCGUGUAUCCUGACAACAAAACGAAAGCUGCAACAGCGUUGGUUUUUAAUCUCGCUGACCCACCGUCUUCUUUGCUGGGGUCUGUGGGUUCUACCCCUCUUAAAGAUGUAACAAACAUAUUAAUAGCAUAUGGUGAUAAUAAAAGUGGAUCUGUAAACCCCACUGUUGUCGAUGAACCAUUGCAACAAAAUCAUAAAGGGAGUAGUGGUACAUCCUGGUACACACGACUUUCAGACAAGAAAGAAGCAGCAUAUCUUGAGAAGCUGCGAUUAUCUUGCCAACAAAAAAAAGUAGCCGCUCUCGGACAGAAUAUGGCUAAACUGGAAGCAUCUUGCCCAGUGAUAUUUCUCAAAUAGGAUCGAGGCAAUCCGUACUCACCCAGCUAGGAGGGACGCUAAAGUGUACUUGCUACUGCAGCCAUGGAGCCAACCAUUACUCCACAUGAUGACAGUGAUUGGCUCCACAGGAGCAAUGCAUACCAGCGAGUAAGAACUUUUGAUCUUAUUACUGCUACACCAUCAAACAAUAAACCAGGUAGUGUUACGUGUAUACUAUAUAUCAUUGUUACAGCACAUAUAUCUUACAACUGUAUAUUGGGCUGCUGUACGGUUUCCGACAUUUGCAGUAGUUUAUAUAUGGUGAUCAGACUGCAUACUAUGCAAGUGACCUCCCAGAUUUUAAUAGGUACCAGACAUCCAAAUGUACCAAACUGAAUACAUGUACUAAAAUAUAUGUAGGCCGAUGCAGCUAUUCAUACUUUGAUUAGACAUUAGUAUUACUACCAUAUUUGUUUGGUAUUUAGGAAAUAUGAACUGGGGUGAUCAGAGGGACUGUAACAAGUACCAUGACUCUAUAUUCUCUAUAAGGCCUCGUUUGGCACAGGAGUUUUAACCGGGUUUGUGGAGUAUUAUCCCGGCCUAAACUUUAUACACGUGAAACCGCGAGCGAGCCGUUUGGCAGGCCGGUCUUGGCCGG
Long non-coding RNA from Lolium rigidum, 1359 nucleotides. RefSeq lists it as uncharacterized. The transcript has 3 exons. NCBI's taxonomy places the organism in Eukaryota, Viridiplantae, Streptophyta, Magnoliopsida, Poales, Poaceae. The record is from RefSeq and is a predicted model, not a curated record.